AUGAGAAGCUGAGGAGCACGCCGCGUGAGUGAAGAAGGUUUUCGGAUCGUAAAACUCUGUUGUAUUUGGAAGAACACGGUACGAGAGUAACUGCUCGUACCUUGACGGUACCUUAUUAGAAAGCCACGGCUAACUACGUGCCAGCAGCCGCGGUAAUACGUAGGUGGCAAGCGUUGUCCGGAAUUAUUGGGCGUAAAGCGCGCGCAGGCGGUUCUUUAAGUCUGAUGUGAAAGCCCACGGCUCAACCGUGGAAGGUCAUUGGAAACUGGAGAACUUGAGUACAGAAGAGGAAAGCGGAAUUCCACGUGUAGCGGUGAAAUGCGUAGAGAUGUGGAGGAACACCCGUGGCGAAGGCGGCUUUCUGGGCUGUAACUGACGCUCAAGCACGAAAGCGUGGGGAGCAAACAAGAUUAGAUACCCUGGUAGUCCCCGCCCUAAACGAUGACUGCUAAGGUGUUGGGGGGUU
This 466-nucleotide ribosomal RNA is filed under the name uncultured bacterium. RNAcentral's name for it is "bacterial SSU rRNA". It matches the Rfam family "Bacterial small subunit ribosomal RNA", at positions 375 to 832 of the family's 1533-position model. The record is from RNAcentral.